CCUAGAAAUGACGUUUCCCAGAAUCGUCAGCAAGAAGCGUGGAGGUGGCAAAGCAGUCCUGGAACCCGGAAAAUCUGUUACAUACUUCCUGUUGCUUUCAUUACGCCGACAGGAAGCGCAGGCGCACUCCCAGCCGUAAAGGCUCCGUUUCCGCGGCCCCGGCGAACCAGGGCUUGGUGGGAGUUGUGUUUCCGGUUACGGAGCAUGGAGGUGGAAAUCCUGUCAUGCAAGCCUAAGUGGGCAUUAGCGUGUGCGACACUGGGGAAUAGAGGUACGCACUGCUGCCCUGAAAGGAGGGUCCCCAGAAGGCCGCGCUCCAGCUCAGAGCGCGAGGGUCGAGGCGCAGCGCAGCCGGAUGUAGCCGCUGAAAGACUACAGUUCCCAUCACGUAAAGUUACACGCCGUGCUUUGAGGGGCUCUGGGCGGGUCGGCCAGGUGAUGACGUACGUCCUGUUACAGUCAGUGCGGUAGAGAGCACCGGAAAACGUGCACGUCAGCCCCAAAGGGACUACAUUUCCCAGAGGGGCUUGAGCCACCCGCGGCGAAACGUAAAUGAGUAGGCGGCAUACGGCUGCGUACCAUCCUGGCCAGUGUCGGGACGUACUUCCGGUGUUCGUGUUCGCGCAGGCAGGAAAUGAGCGACCCUCCUUCCUCUCUGCCGACUACAUUUCCCAGCGGGCACCGAAGGUGACGCGGAGCCAAUCCGGAGCGACGUUGGCUCUAGGGCCGGGAGGAAAGCUUUGUGUGAGAAGCCGCUGACCAGCAGGGGGCGCGGCCGGGUGUGAGCGCCGGAUCUGGCCCCGCUGGGCGACUGAGGCCGCGAAGGAGACCCCACUCUCCCGGGGCGACACGUUAAGCAGCCCCGAUUCUCAUGUUAGACCUGGGGAUGGAAGCUAAACCGGUGCACAUCACAGAGAAGUGUUCAUCACUUACUUAGAAGGCCAGUCCAGGAGCCAAGAAACGGAGAGUUUUGGGGAUGCCCGUUUGGGUGUCUCUGCGAACAGGCGUUCACUCGGCACCAGCGGGAUAACCAUCACAAUCAAGGCGUGGAAGUGCAUCUAAUUUUCUCCAGGUUCAUUGCUAUUAAUCCCAUGAACACUUCACAACCACUGUAUCCUGUAGCAGCAGUCAAGUGACGAUCACUGCUCUGUCCAAAGGAACAUGUAACGUCAUCUUGUCCAGUUCAAGAGUGAUAUUUCCUCUGGGCUGGAGAUGGCUCAGAGGUUAAGAGCACUGACUGCUCUU
Molecule: long non-coding RNA, 1245 nt
Organism: Onychomys torridus (southern grasshopper mouse)
Lineage: Eukaryota; Metazoa; Chordata; Mammalia; Rodentia; Cricetidae
Exons: 3
Source: RefSeq, a predicted model, not a curated record